UUUGUUGUGUAGUAUCAAGACUAAGAAACAAACUAAAUUUAAAAGCGGAGAAUGAAGAGAAAUCAAGAGACGUAUGAGAGUGAGAGAAACGUUUGAAGUUGGUUGCCCUUUAUAUAGGGGAUUUUAAAGCUGCUUUUGUUGUAGAUUUUAAAGGUGUUUUUGUUGUGGUAGCCCUUUAUAUAGGAAAUUUUAAAGCUGCUUUUGUUGUAGAUUUUAAAGUUGUUUUUGUUGUGGUAGCCCUUUAGGUGUUUUUGUUGUGGUAGCCCUUUAUAUAGGAAAUUUUAAAGCUGCUUUUGUUGUAGAUUUUAUAGGUGUUUUUGUUGUGGUAGUCCUUUAUAUAGGAGAUUUUAAAGGUGCUUUUGUUGUAGAUUUUAUAGGUGCUUUUGUUGUGGUAGUCCUUUAUAUAGGAGAUUUUAAAGGUGCUUUUGUUGUAGAUUUUAAAGGUGCUUUUGUUGCAGUAGCUCUUUAUAUAGGAGAUUUUAAAGGUGCUUUUGUUGUGUAGUAUUAGGACUAAUAACAAAUUCUAAUAUUAUAUUAUUUAAUUCAUAUUUAUUAAUAUUUUACAUUAUUUAAUAAAUAUUUAGUAAUAUUUUAUUAUUACUUCUGUCUAUUUUCUCAUUCUAGAAACCUCCUUCCAUUCCCAAUUGUGUUCCGUUCAUCCCCUCUUUCUUCCUUAAAAUAUGAGGAAUUGGAUUGAUGAGGAAUUGAAUUGAGGAGGAAUCAUAAUCGAAUUCUUGUUGAAACUGUUUACUUAAAUGUUCAGGAAUCGGAAUAGGAAUGAAACUGAAUUCAUAGAAGUUGUUUACUAAAUCAACUGAAACGGAAUAAAAAUCAAUAUGAUUACUAAAAUGCUCCUUUCUAAAAUUUUAUUCUAUUUUUAUUCUUAAAAACAUUUAAACUAGUUAUUUUUACUUAGUUAAACUAAAGAUUUUUUUUUCUUUUCCUAAAGAGUUAGAGUCCACUAUUGUGCAAAAGCCAAAGUAAGAGCCCAAGAAAAAACCUAGAAACUAGACCUUGAGGUUGCGAUCGCCAAAGUGAUGUUGCAUGAGGAUGAGCAGGUGAGCAAGAAGCACGUCCGCAAGAUACUGACGUUGACUUUAUCAUCCCAGAGCUACGUCCACGCGUGCGUGUCGGCGGUGUCAAAGCGGCUGGUCCAUCGUGUCAUGCCCCAAUCCCGACAUACGUCCAAGAUCGACACGUGACAUCACCAAAUACCCGUAUAUCUAACUUACCCCGCCUUCGGGAUAUGGCAAAGCACAACUCAAGAAUCGAAUCGCAUAGUAAUUUCUCGUACAUUUUAUGGCUGCAUCUAACUUCUUCUAUACCAGCACUAAGCUUACCAACCAAUAUAAUUUAAAUACAGUCAUAAUCAAUUACCAUAUGCAUACCCCUUUCAAAUUCUAUAUCAAAACAUAGAGCCAAUAGUACGUUUAAAAGCAAUAAUUUAACUAUGGUUUGAUAAUAAUUAGUUGGACUAAUUGUAGCAAAUAAAAUAGCUUGUUUUCUUCAAAACCAAUCCGAUUGGAUUGUAAAGAUUGAGUGAGGAAGAUAUGCAUGUACUUUGAUACACAUGUAGAGAAAACCACAUGCAUAUAUUUUCUCUAAAUAGGUAAUUACGUGUUCAGUAUACAAUCGUUUGGAAAACAACCAACUUCCCAAAGUGGACUAGUCGAAAUACUUUGCCGAGGGUAGUAAUACAACAACAUAGCUUUAUGCAUAAUACAAGUCUUCAGAAAAAGGGCAAUUAAACAAAACAUCCCUUUCGGCUUUUAUACCAUUGUAGGGUUUAGGCAUUUGCAUAUAUAUAAUACUAUUUUUACAAACAAUAGCUAAUCCACGACAGAUUAACCGAAAGAAAUAUUAAUAAGAAUUAGCUAAAUGGAAAGGAUAAAGAGAGUCGAGAAUAUGAACCCAUAUUGCAGGUUGACAUCCCCAGUGAGAGGGAUAUGAAUAUCUUCAACUCCCUUCUCUCUGCUCCUAAUUAAUUCCGACUCCCUUCCUUCCAUUUGUCCUUUCUUCUCUUUAUUUUUGGGUCGACUAAUGGGGAGAAACCAAUAAGCUCGUAAGGCUGCUCGUCAGGACUAUCUGCACAUCCUCUCCCAAUUCUUUCCUCUUCCGCGCAUCAGUUUUUUUUAAUAUUAAAUUAGGUCUUUUUCAUUAAAUUUAAAAUUUUUGUCUUUUUUAUUAAAAUUUAAGAGUUUUUCAUUAAAAUUUAAGUUUUUUUUAUUAAUUAAAGUUAUAUCAUGGUUUUUUUAUUAAGAUAAACUUAGUCCAAGUCUUUUUCAUGAAAGUUCCCUUAAAAUUCUGGUAUGUUUUAUGUUUGUCACAAGUGAAUUUUUGCGGCUAUAAAGUUGAGCUUUUCGAAUAGUCGUGAUUUCAUUGUCAUUAUUAUUUUCUUAUAAAUAAAUAAAUAUAUAUAUGUGUAUGUAUGCAUCUUUUCUAGUACGCGACUUGUGCAUUAUUUUGGGCACAUGAUUUGUGGUUGGCAUAUUAUAUCAUUCAUAGUGUAUAACCGAAAACAUGUGAAAGCUAUUGUAUUUAUACCUUGUAUGGAACGAUAUAAAUUGUUUGGUGAAGCCUUGUCAACAAGAAUGCAUUCUAUUUCGCUAUGAUAGUGGAACUCAUCUCACUUGAUAAUAAUUCACAAGAUUUGGUCUGGAAGUUUCGUUUCUCGUUUGCUUCCGCUGCUUUUAAUGAAAAUUUGGUGUUUAAUUGGUAUGUAUCCUUUAAUUCACAUCUGAUGCGAUCUCAAAGUUCCUAAGAUACUAAUUUUGUAAUUUUGACAAAGUAUGGGUUUUCUAUUGAAUGGAAUUGUUUGAGAUUUUGAAGCGCCAUUUAGUAUUUUUUUCAAUUUAUUUCUGGACUAGAUUGAAUUAUGAUACAUGUCGAUCUCGUUAAAGAAUUAUUAUAUGUAAAUCAUAUUGUUAAAAAGUUGAGAUCUUUAUUAUCUCGUUGUAAUUGAGAUGACUUGUGCUUUUAUGUUCAGACAUUAUCAAAUUUUAGUUGAUCUUGCUUGAUGGAUAUUGAAUUAGUUUGGAUAAAAUUGAAUGCAAAAAUGUUGUGCUUGCUAUUCUGAUUUUGACCAUUGUUGAAACUAGUGAUUUUGGGUUUAUGUGAGAUAAGUUUUUCCGAAUGGAUUGAGACUGUCUUUUGAUACGUAGACUGUUUGCAUAAUGGUUUAGGUGUACAUGAUUAAACUGAGAUUAUGCAAUUGGUGAGGAAUCGGGAACCAAGGCUCAGAUCUCCGGUUUCUUUAUUGGCUGUGUAGUACUUUCUACUCAUGCUUAAGUGGGAGAAGUUGAAGUUAUUUUUAGGCCGGCCAUUAAAUUCAUUUGGAUGCUUUUGAUAAGUGGGAGUAGUUGAAGUUAUUAUUGAGAGCCUAUCACACUUCUUGAAGAUAGCUGUGGAAUAAGGUUUUCAUCCAGAUAAAUCUGUAAUUAGUUGUUCAAAGAAAACAUUUUGAUAAUUCAAUAUAAGCUCUUAAGUCAAUAUUUUCGAAUUUUGAUAAAGCUAUUGGAUGAAUUAUAUUUAGUUAUUCAUAUUGGUUAAAGAAUAAGUAUGAACUUUGUUGUAUUUUGGCAAUAUGAGUGUGAGUAAACUUUUAGUUUGGUCAUGAGCUGUGUCACAUUGCUGCGAACAUGAAUUGAACUUUGUGAUUUAUAAGAUGAUUCUGCAAAUUGUAUUGCAGAGAAGAUUGUGAAUUCAUUGUUUUGAUACAUGAAAGCAGUGUUGUGUUUAUAUUGAGGAACA
Molecule: long non-coding RNA, 3750 nt
Organism: Pyrus x bretschneideri (Chinese white pear)
Lineage: Eukaryota; Viridiplantae; Streptophyta; Magnoliopsida; Rosales; Rosaceae
Exons: 2
Source: RefSeq, a predicted model, not a curated record